Molecule: unclassified non-coding RNA, 248 nt
Filed under: Hevea brasiliensis (rubber tree)
Lineage: Eukaryota; Viridiplantae; Streptophyta; Magnoliopsida; Malpighiales; Euphorbiaceae
Source: RNAcentral
GGGGAUUGUGGUGCUGUAGGAGGAGCUGAUGCAAAGAAACCUGCUGAAUCUGAAUUUGCUGAAACUUUUGCUCCUGCUUGUGGCGUCACGGUCUCAACUCUCACUCCAAUCACAGGUCGUUUACUUGGCUGCCAAUCCAAAUACGUCGAUCCAGCUGAAGUAUUUUCAGAAGUUCUGAUGAAAAACAGCAAGAGCUUGGACAUUCUAUAUAAUAAGAAUCACACAGAAGUGGGAGCUGCAGUUUCAGG